Molecule: long non-coding RNA, 502 nt
Organism: Carassius auratus (goldfish)
Lineage: Eukaryota; Metazoa; Chordata; Actinopteri; Cypriniformes; Cyprinidae
Exons: 5
Source: RefSeq, a predicted model, not a curated record
GAAAAACCCAGCGAUGGAUGUUUCAGAUCUCUGCAGAGAGGAAGACUCUUCUGUUGAGUCCAGUCUGUGUCAGAAUGAAUCUCCUGAACCCAGCUGUGUGUCCAUCAAGAGUGACCGGUCAAUGGGUCAACCAAUUCAUUCAGCUCUGGAGACACAUCUGCUGAUCUGAGUCAAAAACAUAAAGGACGAGAAUCACAUACAGCAAAGAAGAAAUUAGACUCCAUUUUCAAGGAGCUUGAGCACAAAAUCAUCUCUGAGUUAAAAAGCUUUAAGAGACUACUGAGUCCAGAUUACCCAGAAUGCUCUGAAAGAGACCGUUCUGAUGAUGAGGGUCAUAACAGAGUCAGAGAGGGUCUUCUGAAGAUCACACUGCUCCUCCUGAGGAAGAUGAACCAGACAGACCUCGCUGACACACUACAGACCAAACUGAUGCCUGUGUAUCAACAAAAACUCAGAUCCAGACUACAGGAUAAAUAUGAGAGACUCAGUGAAGGACUGUCCA